CUAUUUAUCUUUAUCUUCAUCCUCACUCCCCAGUAAUCAUCAAUUUCUGAUUGCACAUGUACGAGACAGAAGGGGAAAGACAUGGGAUAGGGAAGACGGCGAUGAUAGCGAAUUUGGUUACAAAGCGAUGAUGAUGAUGAUGGAGAUGGCUACAAUAAGGUUCAGUGGUUAGCGGCGGCGGCGGCGGUUAGGGUUCCGCCAUGAAACAUGGUAUCGGCGGUGUUUUCUUUACCAGAAUCGCUAUCGGGUGGGCAAAGUUCCAACACAAGAGGCUGAGAAAGCUAGGUCGGUGGCCUCACUGGCGGCGAUGCGGGUGUCUCUCCGUCGCCUAUCCCCGGUUAUUAUGCCCCGAGGUUUAACCUAGGGUUCCGCCGGCUAUGCUUCUUCUCCGGUAAUUAUCAGUCGAUGGUUGUGGGGUUUUUACGCCGGACUUCGGCGUGAUUCUUCUUUGCCUUCAACAUGAUAGUGAUCAGGCUAAUUGCAUGUGAGGGGACACGAACCGAGCAACCUGUACGUGACCUGGAAUCAUUUAAGUUGAAGGUAUUGCAUUAAUGCAGCCAUCACUGAAGGCACCCCAGAUGUCAACGUUGUUCUUUCCGAUGAAGCGAUGAAUGGUUUUGCAAUCUCUACUAUAGAUAUGAGUCAAAUGUACUUUAGGGACUUCCCUAUUAUUAAUAUCAAUGGGGCCAAAUGUUUUUAUCUUAACUAGAACCGGGUAUGUUUGCUCCUUUUAAAAUUGUUUUCCUCAUGUCCUUGAUGGCAUAGCAAUUAAACGAGUUAAGCUUUUUUCAACGAGCACAGGCCAACAUGGUCUUUGUUUGUAUUUUUGAAAAGUUCAAAUAUUCUGAUUGCUAAAGUUUAGUA
Long non-coding RNA from Helianthus annuus (common sunflower), 864 nucleotides. RefSeq lists it as uncharacterized. Lineage: Eukaryota; Viridiplantae; Streptophyta; Magnoliopsida; Asterales; Asteraceae. The transcript is spliced from 3 exons. The record is from RefSeq and is a predicted model, not a curated record.